Molecule: ribosomal RNA, 782 nt
Filed under: uncultured Pelagibacteraceae bacterium
Lineage: Bacteria; Pseudomonadati; Pseudomonadota; Alphaproteobacteria; Candidatus Pelagibacterales; Candidatus Pelagibacteraceae
Description: bacterial SSU rRNA
Rfam family: Bacterial small subunit ribosomal RNA
Source: RNAcentral
ACGCCUAAUACAUGCAAGUCGAACGGAGUAGCAAUACUUAGUGGCAGACGGGUGAGUAACAUGUGGGUAUCUUCCCUUUGGUGAGGAAUAACACGAGGAAACUUGUGCUAAUACCUCAUAAGUCUUUACGGAGAAAGCUUUAUGCGCCAAUGGAUGAGCCUGCACUUGAUUAGUUUGUUGGUAGGGUAAUGGCCUACCAAGACUGUGAUCAAUAGCUGAUUUGAGAGGAUGAUCAGCCACAUUGGGACUGAGACACGGCCCAAACUCCUACGGGAGGCAGCAGUAGGGAAUCUUGCACAAUGGAGGAAACUCUGAUGCAGCGAUGCCGCGUGAGUGAAGAAGGCCCUUGGGUUGUAAAGCUCUUUCGUCGGGGAAGAAAAUGACUGUACCCGAAUAAGAAGGUCCGGCUAACUUCGUGCCAGCAGCCGCGGUAAUACGAAGGGACCUAGCGUAGUUCGGAAUUACUGGGCUUAAAGAGUUCGUAGGUGGUUAAAAAAGUUGGUGGUGAAAGCCCAGAGCUUAACUCUGGAACUGCCAUCAAAACUUUUUAGCUAGAGUUUGAUAGAGGAAAGCAGAAUUUCUAGUGUAGAGGUGAAAUUCGUAGAUAUUAGAAAGAAUACCAAUUGCGAAGGCAGCUUUCUGGAUCAUUACUGACACUGAGGAACGAAAGCAUGGGUAGCGAAGAGGAUUAGAUACCCUCGUAGUCCAUGCCGUAAACGAUGUGUGUUAGAUGUUGGAAAUUUAUUUUCAGUAUCACAGCGAAAGCAAUAAACACACCGCCU